This 6157-nucleotide long non-coding RNA is filed under the name Sus scrofa (pig). Its description in RNAcentral is "lncRNA (ENSSSCG00000056983.1)". Lineage: Eukaryota; Metazoa; Chordata; Mammalia; Artiodactyla; Suidae. The record is from RNAcentral.
GCAUGUAACCUAACCCUCCUCGCCAGACACUUCCUGAGGGAUCCACCCAUCACCAUCAUUGAGCCCAGAAGUGCCAACAUCAAGCAACUGCUAGGCUCUGCCAGCCCCCUCAGCACCCUCUGGUGGCCAUUCUAACAACUCAGCGCCCUCCCUACUUCCUCCUGAACAAACCCAUGGACUGCAGACUGCACAGGGCUUGUGCACUUGAUAGAUUUAAUUCCUCCUCUCUCGUAGAACAACAUAGCAUCUUGUAGGAGGUGGGUAUUUCUCAAAGUCAGCUGUGGCACUCACUCCUCCAUAUCCUUCAGCAUUCCUCUUAGUCAAUGAGCUGAACCCACUCCGAAUCAGCUAACUGGAUUUGAAUUAAUCAGCCUUAAUCUGAUCCCCUCUUUAUCUAUGUUACUUGGCUUGAGGUAGGAUUUUCCCUCAGGGGUGCACAAAAGAAGGGAGAGGCUCUGAUGGAAGAAACUGAAUUAACUUUUCAGAGAACCCUCAAGAGACAGUCUCUGGGCUGGACACAGCCUGAGCAUCAAAGCUUCUCUGCUUCUCCAUUCAUGACCACCACCCCAGCUCUCAUAGGCAAACAUUGUGAAAGCUAGAAGACUACAUGCCGAAUAGUCAAACCAGUUGCUUGUGGGUUCAGAGCUCUGCUUCUGGAGAAUCAAAAGGCAGGUAGACCCCCUAUGUGCUGUCCAGUGGUGGAGACUUUGAGCUACGUGAGGCAUAUGAAAGUGACCCAAAUAUGAAGGCAGAAUCAUUUCCCUUUUACCUGGUGAGCCACGUUGGACUGGCUCACGUAGCCUGGAACCUACUCCUCUCUGGAAACCUCAUGGGUGGUUCCAAUCAUGCCCAUCUUAAACCCCAUCUCUGAGCCUGGAAGUGCCAACACCAAGCGGCUGAGGGCCUUGCCCAGCGCUUCGGCGCCCUCUCGUGGCCAUUUUCUCUAAAGACAACUCAGAGCCCUUACUCCUGCCUGCUGAACAAAGCAUUGGACUGCACUGGGCUUGUGCACCUGAGAGCUGAUUUAAUUCCUCCUCUCCUUCUAAGAGCAACCAAGUACCUAACAGACUUGGUAUUUCUUCCUCAAAGUCAACCAUGGCACUCACUCCCGCCCAUCCUUCACCACUCCUCUUAGUCAAUGAGCCAAACCCACUCCACACUGCUAAGUGGGUUUUAAUUAACCAGCCUCCCCUCUUGCUUUGUGUGACUUGGCUUGAGGUAAUGUUUUUCCCACUCUGGGGUAAAUGAAAGGAGGGAGAGCCCCAGAUGGCAGCAAAAGAAAGAUCUUUUCAGAGAACCCUUAAGAGACAGGUCUCUGGGAUGGAUGCAGACUCCCCACCAAGGGAAUUUUUCUGCUUUAUACUCUCCGUUCAUGGUCACCAGCACAGCGUUCCCAAUGCCAAACACUGUGUAAGCCUGAUCCUGAAACACUGCAUGCUCAAUAAGUUUAUCCAAUUAACUACUUUUGAGUUCAGAAUUCUGCCUCUCCAGAUUCCAAAGGCUCUCAGAACUCUUCACAGCCUGUCAAACUGCCUGUUCUUUGGGCUACUCUUAAUUCAUAUCACUUUUCUUUGGGUCAGUCCUGCUAACAGUGGUCAUCCAGGGGUGGGGUGGGGGAGUCUCAGAUGGAAAAGGAAGAAGGAAGUUUGAGGGGAACUCUCCAAAAGAAAAUCACAAGGGUUAGCCCUGCCCGUAAACCAAAAUUCUAUUCUUAUACACUCACUGUGCAAGGUUCAAUCCAUCAGCACCUUCCCUUUUUUUUCUCUAGAUUUCAGGAAAAUCACUGUAACAUCUAGGGAAAGAAGAAAAACACCUCUAAGUCAUCCAAAAAUUUUGGGUCCUUGUAGCUGAGUUUAUAGAGAACUGAACACAUGACAAAUGGGCGUUUGGCCUCCGUGAAUGAUUACCUGUAACUGAGCUUGAGUUAACCCUUUCUGAACAAGUCCCAUUGACCACCAGAGAGGCUGAGUAAUUUUUUCUGGCUAGAGAAUCCUAUUUUCCCCUCCAUCUUAUAUCCAGGGCCUGAUUGCUAAAAAGCACCCACCUGCAUUAGAUAUCUCCUACAGCAUCAGAGCGGGUCUUGGAACAUUGAAUCAUUGACUUAAGAGGGGACCUUGCGAUUUCCCAUUGUGGUGCAGUGGAAACAAAUCCGACUAAUACCCAUGAAGAUGCAGGUUCGAUCCCUGGCCUCGUUCAGUGGAUUAAUGAUCCUGUGUUCCUCUGAGCUGUGGUGUAGCCCACAGACAUGGCUCAGAUCUUGUGUCGCUGUUACUGUGGUAUAAACCAGCAGCUGUAGCUCCAAUUCAACACUUAGCCUGGGAACUUCCAUAUGUAGCAGGUGCAGCCCUAAAAGAAAAAAAAAAUUAAGGUCCUUUUAGCACUUCCCCUCCUGCCCCCCACAAAGAUUGGUUCGUGUUUCUGUUAGAGCACCUAUACCAUUUGGCAUGGGCUAGAUUUUGUGGGAUCUGCAUCACCACCAACCCUAGCAGGAGGCCACACGAGAACUGGAAACAGACCAAAAGUGAGGUCUCCUCGGUGGUUGUAACCAAGCCUCUAUCCUGGCAAAAUCACUACUAGCGUUCAGCCUCCAUGAGCAAAAAUUACCACCUGCUAACAAACAGCUUGUUUUCUUUUGCAGCACCACAUGACCAAAAAUUUGUAGAUGGGGAAAGUUAGCCAACUACUGGCUCUCUCAAUUAUAAUACCAUUUUUCUUUUUAUUAUUCAAUGAAUUCAUUACAUUUAUAGUUGUGCAAUGAUCAUCACAACCCAAUUUUAUAGCAUUUCCAUCCCAAACCCCCAGCCCAUCCCCCCACCCCCCAAACUGUCUCCUUUGGAAACCAUAAGUCAGUGUCUGUUCUGCAAAGAUGUUCAUUGUGUCCUUUUUUCAGAUUCCACAUGUCAGUGAUAGUAUUUGAUGUUUGUGUCUCAUUGUCUGACUCACUUCAUUUAGCAUGAUAAUUUUUAGGUCCGUCCAUGUUGCUAAAAAUGCUAUUUCUUUCCUUUUAAUGGCUGAGUAAUAUUCCAUUGUGUAUUCUUUAUCCACUCCUCUGUCAAUGGACAUUUAGGUUGUUCCCAUGUCUUGGCUGUUGCAAAUAGUGCUGCAAAGAACAUUGGAGUACAUGUGUCUUUUUGAGUCAUGGUUUUCUCUGGAUAGACGCCCAGGAGGGGGAUUCCUGGAUCAAAUGGUUGUUCUAUUUUUAGUUUUCUGAGGAAUUUCCAUACUGUUUUCCACAGUGGUUGCACCAAUUUACAAUCCCACCAACAGUAUGAUAGGGUUCCUUUUUCUCCACACCCUCUCCAGCACUUAUUGUUUGUAGACUUUUGGAUGAUGGCCAUUCUGGCUGGUGUAAGGUGGUACCUCAGAGUGGUUUAGAUUUGCAUUUCUCUAAUAAUGAGUGCUGUUGAACAUUUUUUCAUGUGUUUUUUUUGGCUAUCCAUAUGUCUUCUUUGGAGAAUUGUCUCUUUAGAUCUUCUGCCCAUUUUUUGAUGAUGAUUAUUAUUUUUUUUGGUAUUGAGUGGUAGGAAGUGUUUAUACAUUUUAGAGAUUAAUCCCUUGUCAGUUGAUUCAUUUGCAAAUAUUUUCUCCCAUUCUGUGGGCUGUCUUUUCCUUUUGUUUAGGGUUUCCUUUGCUGUGCAGAAACUUUUCAGUUUAAUUAGGUCCCAUUUGUUUAUUUGUUUUUACUGCCAUUACUCUAAGAGGUGGAUCUGAGAAGAUGUUGCUGUUGUUUAUGUCAGAGAGUGUUUGGCCUAUGUUUUCCUCUAUGAGUUUUAUGGUGUCUGGUCUUAUAUCUAGGGCUUUAAUCCAUUUUGUGUUUAUUUUUGUGUAUGGUGUUAGGGAAUGUUCUAAUUUCAUUCUUUUACAUGUGGAUGGCCAGUUUUCUCAGCACCACUUAUUGAACAGGCUGUCUCUUCUCCACUGUAUAUUCUUGCCUUCUUUGUCAUAGAUUAGUUGGCUGUAGGUGCGUAGUAUAAUACCAUUUUUCAAUUAGACCUCUAGUGUUAGCAUUUGAAGAAAAGUGGGCUGAGAUCACUAUGUCCCAUUUUUCAUGGUGCCUUGCCAAACAAGGGGCCUCCAAAAUAAAUGUGAGUUUAUUUCUAAUCUCUCUCUCUCCUUGUAUUGGAAUUGAAUCCCAAUGUUCCUUUUUGUUUUCUCCCUCUGCCAUGAAUAGCUGCUUCCCCUCCUGACAGUUCACCCAAGACCCCCGAUUCAUCUACCCCCACCUUUCCUCAUUCUGUGAUGCCAUCUACUCCCAACUCACCACCAUCCUACCUGCUGCCCUCACUGCCGCCUGACCCUCUCACCUCCACCCGUCAGCAUGCCUCCUUCAGGAACUAGUCCGGUGCACAACCAUAGUGACUUUCAGUACCAGCUGUCCAGAAUCAAUAGGCUCUUUCCCCCUCAAGAGGUCAGGUGGAGAGGGCAGACUGACCACCAUGUAUGUAUCCUUCCCUUCCUCCCAUCAAUAUAACUGUUAGAAUCCACACAAGGGAUUGAAGGCAGGACCCUUGGCUUCCUGUAAGACGUUUGGGGCAUCCUACCUGCCAGGAGCCCUCCUUCAUGCCAUGUGCACAAUGACUGGCUUUGAGCCCUACUCUCCAUUGUGGUCGAGGUCUUUGAAAGCUGAGGCAAUUCAUUGACAUCAUAUCCUUGCUCGUUUCCCCAUAUGAAAUAAGACGAUGACUAAGUGGGAGUUCCCAUUGUCGUGCAGCAGAAAUGAAUCCGACUAGGAUCCGUAAGGAUGCAGGUUCCAUCCCUGGCCUCGCUCAGUGGGUUGGGGAUCUGGUGUUUCCAUGAGCUGUGGUGUAGGUCGGAUGUGGGUCGGAUCCUGCAUUGCUGUGGCUGUGGUGUAGGCUGGCAGGUGUAGCUCUGAUUCAACCCCUAGCCUGGAAAUGUCCAUAUGCCAUGAGUGUGGCCCUAAAAAGAUAGAAAAAAAAAAAACCCACAAUAACAAAAAAACAAGAAGACUGAAAGGGCCCAGGGUCUUAGCUGAGUCCAUGGGGAAUAAAAAGGUUUACUUAUUAGCUUACUAGUUGACAAAGGGGCCCCCAACUCAGCCUUGAACACCCAACAAAGCACAGUGACCAAAGAUAACUGUAAGAUAUCAGGAGUUGGGAGAUGUCAUUAUAUAAGGCUCUGGAAUGAGGUGUGGAGGGGAGAAUGUUGCCUCACUCUCAUAUGUACCAGAUGCCCAAUUCCCCUCAUAUGAGAAGACUUACUAUACAAAUUGGGAGCUACCCUUCAUCUCAGAGACAAACACCUUACCAUUGAAAUACCUAAGGCUCCCUUCCAUUCUGUAGCCCUAGUGCUACUUCUCUCUGCCAAGAAUAAUAGCCUACUUAACCUUGAGGGGGUUAAUGCCUCAGCAGGGACCCAGGGCACCAUGGGCAGAGUCAGAAGGGCACCACCCACCAUAGUCAAGGUGUGACCUGGACAUAAUCAUUGAAAUAAAAAAACCCAACACCCCUGAAGCAAAGAAACCCUAGCAGGCACAAAGAAAGCCUCCAUAAGCGAGGGCUUCUUAGACCCUGCCAGUCCCCUUGCAACACUUUUGUUCUGCUGAUAAAGGGGACAAAUGGGAAAUACUGGCUAGUUCAGGAUCUCUGGGCCAUAAAUGAAGAUUUGGAGGAGAUUCAUUCUGUGGAACUGAGGUAGGAUACUAACUCAGGUAGUCAGUGUAGGAACAUGGUCUUUGAUGCAUUCUUUGAUAUGACUAUUGAUUAGCAUUUGUGGUUUAAGGACUCCAGAGAUUAAUAUAUCCACAGGCCUUGUUUAUUAUAGGAAGUGUGCCUUCCCCACAAGCUUUGUUUUAUUAUAGGAAGUGUACCUACACCCACAUGGACCUUCAUCUCUAACCCACUCAAGAGAUAAAAAAGGAGUGAGAGGGAUGGUGACUCAGUCUAAGGGAAGAGAAAGGACAAAGAAACCAUAAAACCUAUAGGAUGUUCCAUCCUAAAACCCCUAUUGGACAAGGACUGAUAUAGGUAACUGGGCAAGGCCAAUGGGAGAAAACCACAUCUUUCCAGACCCCAUGUUAUUACCCUCUCCCAUUUUUAAGGGACAAAAACCCCUAUAGGACAGUAGAGAGCGGGUGAUCUUCUCCCCUCUCCCAGCAGCCCUGGGAGCUAUUUGCUUUCCUGUAAUAAAGGCUUUGCUU